This 438-nucleotide ribosomal RNA is filed under the name uncultured bacterium. RNAcentral describes it as "bacterial SSU rRNA". It matches the Rfam family "Bacterial small subunit ribosomal RNA", at positions 959 to 1397 of the family's 1533-position model. The record is from RNAcentral.
ACGCGAGGAACCUUACCAGGUCUUGACAUCCCUCUGACCGGUAUAGAGAUAUACCUUUCCUUCGGGACAGAGGAGACAGGUGGUGCAUGGUUGUCGUCAGCUCGUGUCGUGAGAUGUUGGGUUAAGUCCCGCAACGAGCGCAACCCUUGAUCUUAGUUGCCAGCACUUCGGGUGGGCACUCUAAGGUGACUGCCGGUGACAAACCGGAGGAAGGUGGGGAUGACGUCAAAUCAUCAUGCCCCUUAUGACCUGGGCUACACACGUACUACAAUGGCCAGUACAACGGGAAGCGAAGCCGCGAGGUGGAGCGAAUCCUAAAAAGCUGGUCUCAGUUCGGAUUGCAGGCUGCAACUCGCCUGCAUGAAGUCGGAAUUGCUAGUAAUCGCGGAUCAGCAUGCCGCGGUGAAUACGUUCCCGGGUCUUGCACACACCGCCCGU